Molecule: transfer RNA, 72 nt
Filed under: Camelus bactrianus (Bactrian camel)
Lineage: Eukaryota; Metazoa; Chordata; Mammalia; Artiodactyla; Camelidae
Also listed under: 2 other names
Rfam family: tRNA
About the family: Transfer RNA (tRNA) molecules are approximately 80 nucleotides in length. Their secondary structure includes four short double-helical elements and three loops (D, anti-codon, and T loops).
Source: Rfam by way of RNAcentral
GGGGAUGUAGCUCAGUGGUAGAGUGCAUGCCUAGCAUGCAGGAGGUCCUGGGUUCAAUCCCCAGUACCUCCA